Triticum dicoccoides is the source of this 593-nucleotide long non-coding RNA. RefSeq lists it as uncharacterized. Lineage: Eukaryota; Viridiplantae; Streptophyta; Magnoliopsida; Poales; Poaceae. The record is from RefSeq and is a predicted model, not a curated record. The transcript is spliced from 3 exons.
CCCGCGCCCCACUUCAUCGCGGCCCGCUAGGAACCCAGAUCGGGCCCUGGGAAGCCCAUCUGGGCCCGGCUCCCGCUCCAGCCCGCACCCGAGCCGCUCCUCCUCGGUCCCGAUCUGGAUCGAGGGAGCGAGGAGCUCCUGCCCCGCCUCGCCGGACCUCCCCUGCCCGUCACCGGCGAACUCACCGCCGGAGCGUCCCCGCCGUCUUCGCGCUCGUCGCCGGGUCGCUGCCCCAUCGCAGGAGUUACCCAGGCCGCCGUCGCUGGGCGCCUCGUCGCCGGCCCCUCCGACGCCAGAUCGGCGGUCCUCAGGCCCGGAUCUGCCUGUUCCCGCCGCCCCGCGCCUCCUCUGGCCUCUCCGGCCGUCGUCGGCCCAAGUCCGGCGAGCCCCGACCUCGCCUCGUCCUCACAGGGGUCGGGCACGAGCCCUCCCGCGUAGACCUCGCGCAUUGACCGCCGCCUCCCGCGUGGGCCUCGCUCUGGCCCAGGCCACGUCCCGGCCUGGUCCACCUCCUCUGCCUGCCCAAGCCUCUCCACCGACUGGGCCUAGCCCAUGUUCCGGUAACGUUGCGUUCAUGAGGAUUCAUUCGACUA